UCAUUUUGUUAUUUUUUGUUGAAGUGUUUAGUCGCGUCGUGUCUCGUGUCGUUGUUAAUAAAAUAUAAGUAUAAUUAUAAACAAUUAUAUCAAACUAUUAACAAUAUGGAAACAAAAAAAGGUAUGUUGUACCCUUCAAGCAAGAAAACUGAGUUCAACAAAGAAACUCCGACCUCAGACCGCGAAAAUCGGACUUGCACUCACACACUUGCAACUUUUUGUGUAUGAACACAAAGUCGAACGAGAAACGAGGUGAAAAAUGAGAAAAGGAAAAGAAAGACAAGGCCAACAAGAGCCAAAGCGUCAUUUUGUUAUUUUUUGUUGAAGUGUUUGGUCGCGUGUGUCUCGUGUCUCGUGUCGUUGUUUGUAUAAUGUUAGUUUAUUAAUUAUAAACAAUUUUAUUAAAUUAUAAACAAUAUGGAAAACAAAAAAGAUGUACAGGGCUAUUCUGGCAAACCUCACUGAUGCCUCACAAGUCACAAAAACCUCAUAACUCAAGUUGAACUCGAUUUUGUGACUUUUUCGUAUUCUAACGAAAACCUCACAGAUCACAAGAACCUCAUAAGGUGUGGUGAGUUUGAUUUUGUGAGGUUUUUCCAAUUCUGGCAUACCCUCACAACUUGUGAGCCUCAUAAAAAUUGUUAAAAUUGUGAUCGCCUUCAGAUCAGGUCACAACUCACAAAUUAUUAGAGUUUUGAAAUUGUUUGUAUUUUCAUAAAAUAUUUUGAGAACAAUUUAAAGUUUUUUUUAUUUGUGAAUCAACAAAAAUGCAACUAGACCUUGUUUUGUUGCAUCUUAAUGCAGAAAAAAAAAGAGAAAAUCUAUAAGCAAUUCCAAGAAGUCUUACCCCAAUGUGUUCCAAACGUUUGUCAUUGGAUGUUGGUUGCAUCUGGAGAUAAUUUCUCAGUAGUCAUCGAUGAAUAUUUGGAACUUGGCCUGCGUCGGCAUUACUUUGGACAACAAUUUUUUUUAAUCACCGCAUUAUGAUUUUAUGCUUGAGACCGAAAGAGAGUUAGAGUAGCUCAAGGAGUGGCUUAGUUUCGGAUAGCCAAUCAGAUCAGAUUGGGAUGAGAACAAAAAGCUCUAUUUAAAUCUUAUGAUGAUAGAGGAAGAAUGAGGAAAUCAGUUAUUGCCACUUAAUAAACAAACAACAAUAUAUCGCAUGUGAACCAGCGGGAGUGCAUAAACACUUGUACAUUAUGUCGAAUAAGGUCCAACUUAUCAUCUAAUUGACUCUUAUUGAUUGAAUUCAAUAUACACGCUUCGGAUAUCUGACAAGCAAAGAAUCAUCGUAUAGGAUACGAAGGAACAACAACACCAUCAACAACAGAUUGAUCCAAAUCAAACAAUUACAUAUCAUGGAAUGUCCCGGAAUAUUAAAGAAGACUAAAGUCUAAUUAAGAAACGAGUACAUACAUAGGUGAUAUUUUCGUUUAUUAUUCCACAAUUUUUAAACGAUAAUUUGAUUUGUAAAAAAAGCAAAAGAAAAAAAAUAAACGUGUCAUUGGAAAAAAUAAAAUAAGAAACAAACCA
Molecule: long non-coding RNA, 1533 nt
Organism: Episyrphus balteatus (marmalade hoverfly)
Lineage: Eukaryota; Metazoa; Arthropoda; Insecta; Diptera; Syrphidae
Exons: 3
Source: RefSeq, a predicted model, not a curated record